GAUGAACGCUAGCGAUAGGCCUAACACAUGCAAGUCGAGGGGCAGCACAUGAGUAGCAAUACGAUGGUGGCGACCGGCGCACGGGUGAGUAACACGUAUGCAACCUACCUCUAACAGGGGGAUAACCCGUUGAAAGACGGACUAAUACCCCAUAAUACAGGGGCUCCGCAUGGAGAUAUUUGUUAAAGAUUUUAUCGGUUAGAGAUGGGCAUGCGUUCCAUUAGCUAGUUGGUGAGGUAACGGCUCACCAAGGCGACGAUGGAUAGGGGAACUGAGAGGUUUAUCCCCCACACUGGAACUGAGACACGGUCCAGACUCCUACGGGAGGCAGCAGUGAGGAAUAUUGGUCAAUGGAGGCAACUCUGAACCAGCCAAGUCGCGUGAAGGAUGAAGGUCUUAUGGAUUGUAAACUUCUUUUGCAGGGGAAUAAAUAGCGGUACGUGUACCGUUUUGCAUGUACCCUGCGAAUAAGGAUCGGCUAACUCCGUG
This 489-nucleotide ribosomal RNA is filed under the name uncultured bacterium. RNAcentral's name for it is "bacterial SSU rRNA". It matches the Rfam family "Bacterial small subunit ribosomal RNA", at positions 28 to 507 of the family's 1533-position model. The record is from RNAcentral.